GUCAGUCCUCCCUCUGCUAACCUGCAGUGCAGGGGAGAGUGCAGGGUGGGGAGAGGGUGGGAGGCCAGCCAGGGAAGUACUCACAGCAAGUAGUCGGGUGUCUCUGAGGUUGAUGUGGGGACACUUGAGCUGUUGCAAGUCCCAUUCAAACCUACAAAAAAAGAGCAAAUGCACACCAUCUUCUAAGCCCAUACCGAAUUCUAUAACAGGUCUGUUAUCUGCAGGACCUGGAGAGAUAGCAGAAGGGGGUCGGGAUGGGCAGAGGGAAUCUGAUGGCCGGGCUGGUGCCGCCUCGGGAGCUUCACUGGACCCAGAAGCAACACAGCCAAACACAAGAUGCAGCCCACCUGGGAAUCCCUGUGCCGCAGGACUCACCAGCGGAUGGAGCACACCUCUCCCACCUCUUGAGGCUGCAGCCCAAUGAACCCACACGUGACAGUUUAGUCCAUGCUUCUACCACAUGUGCUUUGCAUGAGGUACACCUUCCAGAGUGUUCUGCUUUGUGGGCCCCGUCAGUAUCACCUCAUUUAGCCCUUUUGAGAACUUCGCCAGGGACAAGAUACCAGGCCAAUUGGCACUGGGCAGGAUCUGAAGCUGUCUGAGCGCCAAGUAUGCUCCUCCUUCCCUGGGCACUGCCAGAGGAACACAGGGCCUUGCUUUCACCAUUUGGGACAGGACGUGCUGCCUGGCUGGGCCUGCUCAGGGUUUGUCUCUCCCGGCAGGAUCAGCUCAAGGGAACCAGGCCUUGCCUCCACCUGGCUGCUGCCAACACCUGCCCUCCAGUCAGAGGGAGGGGCUGGCAAAGGCCUUUCUGGAGAGUAGUUGAAUAACUCAUUAAAAAAGCCUUAAGGAGAAAGUAACUCCACC
This is a long non-coding RNA of Canis lupus familiaris (dog), 867 nucleotides long. RefSeq lists it as uncharacterized. Lineage: Eukaryota; Metazoa; Chordata; Mammalia; Carnivora; Canidae. The transcript has 3 exons. The record is from RefSeq and is a predicted model, not a curated record.